RNAcentral lists this ribosomal RNA (440 nucleotides) under uncultured bacterium. RNAcentral's name for it is "partial 16S ribosomal RNA". It matches the Rfam family "Bacterial small subunit ribosomal RNA", at positions 338 to 795 of the family's 1533-position model. The record is from RNAcentral.
CCUACGGAUGGCAGCAGUGGGGAAUAUUGCACAAUGGGGGAAACCCUGAUGCAGCAACGCCGCGUGAGUGAAGAAGUAUUUCGGUAUGUAAAGCUCUAUCAGCAGGGAAGAAGAUGACGGUACCUUAGUAAGAAGCCCCGGCUAACUACGUGCCAGCAUCCGCGGUAAUACGUAGGGGGCAAGCGUUAUCCGGAUUUACUGUGUGUAAAGGGAGCGCAGACGGUGAGACAAGUCUGAAGUGAAAGCCCGGGGCCCAACCCCGGGACUGCUUUGGAAACUGCCUGACUAGAGUGCUGGAGAGGCAAGCGGAAUUCCUAGUGUAGCGGUGAAAUGCGUAGAUAUUAGGAAGAACACCAGUGGCGAAGGCGGCUUGCUGGACAGUAACUGACGUUGAGGCUCGAAAGCGUGGGGAGCAAACAGGAUUAGAUACCCCAGUAGUC